AGUGAACGCUGGCGGUAGGCCUAACACAUGCAAGUCGAACGGCAGCACAGAGGAGCUUGCUCCUUGGGUGGCGAGUGGCGGACGGGUGAGGAAUACAUCGGAAUCUACUCUGUCGUGGGGGAUAACGUAGGGAAACUUACGCUAAUACCGCAUACGACCUACGGGUGAAAGCAGGGGAUCCUCGGACCUUGCGCGAUUGAAUGAGCCGAUGUCGGAUUAGCUAGUUGGCGGGGUAAAGGCCCACCAAGGCGACGAGCCGUAGCUGGUCUGAGAGGAUGAGCAGCCACACUGGAACUGAGACACGGUCCAGACUCCUACGGGAGGCAGCAGUGGGGAAUAUUGGACAAUGGGCGCAAGCCUGAUCCAGCCAUACCGCGUGGGUGAAGAAGGCCUUCGGGUUGUAAAGCCCUUUUGUUGGGAAAGAAAUCCAUCUGGUUAAUACCCGGGUGGGAUGACGGUACCCAAAGAAUAAGCACCGGCUAACUUCGUGCCAGCCGCCGCCGUAA
This 506-nucleotide ribosomal RNA is filed under the name uncultured bacterium. Its description in RNAcentral is "partial 16S ribosomal RNA". It matches the Rfam family "Bacterial small subunit ribosomal RNA", at positions 29 to 523 of the family's 1533-position model. The record is from RNAcentral.